GUCCACGCCCUAAACGGUGGGUACUAGGUGUAGGGCUCGUAAGGGUUCUGUGCCGAAGGGAAACCAUUAAGUACCCCGCCUGGGGAGUACGGCCGCAAGGUUGAAACUCAAAGGAAUUGACGGGGGCCCGCACAAGCGGUGGAGCAUGUGGUUUAAUUCGACGCAACGCGAAGAACCUUACCUGGGCUUGACAUGUUAGUGGUAAAGACCCGAAAGGGCGAUGAACCCCGCAAGGGGGUAGCUAACACAGGUGCUGCAUGGCUGUCGU
Molecule: ribosomal RNA, 268 nt
Filed under: uncultured bacterium
Lineage: Bacteria
Description: partial 16S ribosomal RNA
Rfam family: Bacterial small subunit ribosomal RNA
Source: RNAcentral